This 2404-nucleotide long non-coding RNA is filed under the name Bemisia tabaci. Its description in RNAcentral is "lncRNA ENSSSA2NGG011157". The record is from RNAcentral. Lineage: Eukaryota; Metazoa; Arthropoda; Insecta; Hemiptera; Aleyrodidae.
ACCAAUCUCCAAAAACACCCAAGCAAAGUCCGCGACAGAGGAAACCUAAAAGUCACCCGGAAAGAAUGAAAUAUAAUUGUUCCUUCUUACAAUGCCAACUUAAACUGUCUUCUGUUGAAGAUUUAUUAGAAUUUAAAAAAGGACAUCUGCAGCUCAAUCUGGAAUUCUUCAAAAGUUCAAGACAAGUCAAGAUUUUGUUUGAAGAUGUGGAGAGAAAGCACACCGUGCACAACCAUCGAAUGACGAUUUCCUCACUGGAGCCUUCCUUUUUUUUUUCCUCAGUCAAAUUUCAUUUUGUGUCGUUAAUGAUUUGCUGCUACUUCAGGGAUUCUAUCCAAUUAGCAGAGCUAUCAGGGAUUUUAGGAAGCUCUCUCAACGGACAGUUUCAGGGGCUUUUCAGCAGAAUGUUUCGAAAAAUCCAAUUACCUCUCUCAGAUCUUAGCUGUUGCAAGUUUUUUUAAUUUAAAAGAAUGAAGCACAAAAAUUUUAAGAUAUCCAACCCCCUGACACAUUGAAAUUUUUUUGUGAAAAUUAUCAAAAAAUGAACAAAGAGAGUUUAAAUCAGGGACGGGCGGAGAUUGAGAAAGUGAUGGAAAAUAUCAGUCCAUAUGUACUUAAAGUGGCUCAUUUUAAUUGUUUUUGUUUUUGAGACAAACUGGUAUCGACCAGCCCACUGGGAUUUUUUGCAGUGUCCCCGCCUACCUGUCUGCCCCUGCUUCUGAUAGGCCCUAAACGAUGUUUCUUGAUCACACAGUUUAUUUUUUCUUCUUGUCAUUAAAUCUUGUCUUUCAUUGCGUGUUUCAUUGACGCAGUUUUUUUAACAUGUAGAUUUUAAGUCCCAAGUCUUAAUUAUAAAAUACACUCAAUACUCCGAACUCGCUCAACUUAAGACAUAUUUUCUUGAAGGAUGAAAUUGACAAAAUCCCAAUAAUUCCAGCAAGAAAGUGAAGAUAAUUACUAAAAAUUAAUCUCCCAGCUGGUAAAAGUGAAUGUGAUAGAAUCUACAUCUGUUCUUUGUUUACGACCUUAUUCCAGGCCAAGGCUUGCCUCAUUUCAUGGAUUUUGGUUAGUUUCUUGGGAUUGUGAAUUGCAAAAGCUUUAAAAUGAUCUAUUGUAAUGAGGGAAGCAUGCAAAGAAUAAGAUCUGAGUUUCCUUGUUUUUUGUUUUUUCCGAAUCACUCUACUCUUCAGCCAGCUGAUAUUGAUUUUCACUGCUUUAACCAAACAAAUUUCUUUUUCAUUUUGUCCAAAAGUAAGUAAGAUAAGUUUUUUUAAAUCCGAUCAAAUUUUCUCCCCCCCAAGACAAUACCUGAACAUUUCUUUGCCUCAUACGUAUAUAACUAUCCCACAACAUUUGAUUCCUUCAAUUUUUUCCCUCCAAAGUGUAUUUAAUUGUAUCACUGUAUCAAUGAAGUAUGUAUGUAUUCAUGCAUAUCCCCCUAACACAAGAGAUUUUCUUUUGAUGACUCAAUUUUUUGUACCCUUUUUUACUGUAAUUUUGUAAAGUUUUGAUCAGGAACUUAGGUCAGUUUUAAAGGCUAGCGUGAAGAACAUCUUGGCAGAUAAGACGUCACCAAGUAGGAAGGAUUUAUCUGAAAUUUUUAUUUUUUUUAUCAAAGGUGUCUUUACUAAAAUAUUCUAAUGGACUUAAUGUUGUCCUUUAAAACCCUCUAUGUAAAUGGAUCGAAUCUAUGUUGUGAUUGCCGAUUUUAACUCUGCUAGUUACCUGUUACGGUUUUUAUUAUGUACUCAAUUCUUCAUCCCAAAUAAGUGCAUUCAGAUGCACUGUGACAUCAGCCAAAAGAGACAGUAGAACUGCAAGCCAAAGUUUGCAGAGCUCCUGUUCUAGCAAGUCUGAAAAGCUGGUUCACAGUUCCUCGUUUAGGUGUUUCAAAUUAUAAAUAUUGUAAAUAAAAGCAGUGUAAUUCAUAAGUCCAAAGUUCAAUUACGUUAGGUUGUUUUUGUGUACUAUCAUCGUGUAAAUUAAGACAAAUAAUUUCAUAAAUUAAAUUAGUCUGUUCCAAUUUUUUUAAAACUCGUGUCUGUUUUAUUUCUCUGAAACAUUUUAUCUUUUGCCAUGGAAGUAGUUUUGAUGGAAACUACAUAGGAGAAUUUUUUAAUUUAUUUAUUUAUUUAUUUAGUUUCCUCGAAAUGUUAAACCAAGUUAAUUUUCCUAACGUUUGCCUACUCCGAAUUUUGAAAUCAUUUAAUACCUUCAUGCAGAAAAUUUCGAUGCGAUAUUUUGGUUCUUUUUUUUUCAAACAAGUAAAAUUAUUUGGUCAAAUUAAAUAGUUGUAGUUAAAAUACUCAUUUCAACUCAAAUUACAGUAAACAAAAAACAAAAAACAGGGCAAUAAGUGAAGGAUAAUGACGCGUGGUACUAGGUUUGCGGCGACUACGCGUCG